AAUAGGGCUUCCCGUCCGCUCAGCCGUACUCAAGCCACACGCCGGGAGGUUAGUAGUUGGGUGGGUGACCACCAGCGAAUCCCUUCUGUUGUAUGUU
RNAcentral lists this ribosomal RNA (97 nucleotides) under Aspergillus niger. Lineage: Eukaryota; Fungi; Ascomycota; Eurotiomycetes; Eurotiales; Aspergillaceae. The record is from RNAcentral.